CUUGUAGGAUCUUUCAGAUCUAAUGAGAUCUGGAGCGGCAUAUUUUAAAAAAAAAUUAUCUUACUUUAUUUUAGAUCUAAAGUCUAUUAGAUCUGAUUCUUAUUAUCUUAUAUUUAAUCUAAAAUUUAAUCUAAAAUCAUGAGAAAUAGAGAAAUACUUUUAGGGUAACUAGAUUACCCUGUAGAUGAUCGCAGCAAUACCCG
Molecule: long non-coding RNA, 203 nt
Filed under: Elaeis guineensis (African oil palm)
Lineage: Eukaryota; Viridiplantae; Streptophyta; Magnoliopsida; Arecales; Arecaceae
Description: long non-coding RNA (EGUI_LNC058505)
Source: RNAcentral